RNAcentral lists this transfer RNA (77 nucleotides) under Candidatus Saganbacteria bacterium. RNAcentral's name for it is "tRNA-Arg". It matches the Rfam family "tRNA". Rfam says of the family: Transfer RNA (tRNA) molecules are approximately 80 nucleotides in length. Lineage: Bacteria; Bacillati. The record is from RNAcentral.
GCGCCAGUAGCUCAGCUGGAUAGAGCGACUGCCUUCGAAGCAGUAGGUCGCGGGUUCGACUCCUGCCUGGCGCACCA